RNAcentral lists this ribosomal RNA (301 nucleotides) under uncultured bacterium. RNAcentral's name for it is "partial 16S ribosomal RNA". It matches the Rfam family "Bacterial small subunit ribosomal RNA", at positions 509 to 807 of the family's 1533-position model. The record is from RNAcentral.
CAGUAGCCACGGUAAUACGUAGGGUGCAAGCGUUAAUCGGAAUUACUGGGCGUAAAGCGUGCGCAGGCGGUUAUAUAAGACAGAUGUGAAAUCCCCGGGCUCAACCUGGGAACUGCAUUUGUGACUGUAUAGCUAGAGUACGGCAGAGGGGGAUGGAAUUCCGCGUGUAGCAGUGAAAUGCGUAGAUAUGCGGAGGAACACCGAUGGCGAAGGCAAUCCCCUGGGCCUGUACUGACGCUCAUGCACGAAAGCGUGUGGAGCAAACAGGAUUAGAUACCCGUGUAGUCCCUGUCUCUUAUAC